This is a long non-coding RNA of Aricia agestis (brown argus), 184 nucleotides long. RefSeq lists it as uncharacterized. The record is from RefSeq and is a predicted model, not a curated record. The transcript has 3 exons. Lineage: Eukaryota; Metazoa; Arthropoda; Insecta; Lepidoptera; Lycaenidae.
CUUAGAGGUGCGCGUGAUAGCACCCAAACCAUAGGAGAGCCAUGUCGAGCUCAUCAAAAAACCUUUUGAGUGACUUUGCAUGUGGUGCAGACAAUACAGCACACCAGAUGUCACAAAUGGUCUAACAUUGGAAGCACCCUCAGUCAGUCAAUCAUUGUUUGCGAAUUCAAUCACUAAAUAUGUC